Rhododendron vialii is the source of this 445-nucleotide long non-coding RNA. RefSeq lists it as uncharacterized. The record is from RefSeq and is a predicted model, not a curated record. NCBI's taxonomy places the organism in Eukaryota, Viridiplantae, Streptophyta, Magnoliopsida, Ericales, Ericaceae. The transcript is spliced from 3 exons.
GGUGUGGACUGAUGGCUUAUAAAUGGAAAUGGUCCCUUUCUGCCCAUGAUGGUUUUUCUCAGUCUAUUUCUCAUCCUCUAAAGUUACAAUGAGAAUACUAAAGAAUGGGUCAAGAUCGAUAAAUCAUUCUCCUCAAGAAGUGUCUAGAUUAUGCAAUAACCUAUUGGAUUCAACAUGGUUAUGCUAAAAUGAAUCCAUGGGGUAAAAGGCCUUCGAUCAACUAUUGAAUCACUUUAAUGCAUGUACUGACGAAUUCAGAUCUGAGAUUGAAUGAUGAACAUACAAAAAUGGCUGGUGUAGCUAGAAAUAUCAUGACAGUGUAGGAGAGGAUGCUCUCUGUUUAUUGGCCAAAGAAAGUCAUGGACACUUUUGUAACCACGUUGGUAAAGGAGAGAUUAAGCCCUAGUAUUUUGUCUAUAGACAUUGAAAGAGUUCUUUUAGAAUC